RNAcentral lists this ribosomal RNA (375 nucleotides) under Lactiplantibacillus plantarum. Its description in RNAcentral is "bacterial SSU rRNA". It matches the Rfam family "Bacterial small subunit ribosomal RNA", at positions 1 to 346 of the family's 1533-position model. Lineage: Bacteria; Bacillati; Bacillota; Bacilli; Lactobacillales; Lactobacillaceae. The record is from RNAcentral.
AUUAAUUUGAGAGUUUGAUCCUGGCUCAGGACGAACGCUGGCGGCGUGCCUAAUACAUGCAAGUCGAACGAACUCUGGUAUUGAUUGGUGCUUGCAUCAUGAUUUACAUUUGAGUGAGUGGCGAACUGGUGAGUAACACGUGGGAAACCUGCCCAGAAGCGGGGGAUAACACCUGGAAACAGAUGCUAAUACCGCAUAACAACUUGGACCGCAUGGUCCGAGUUUAAAAGAUGGCUUCGGCUAUCACUUUUGGAUGGUCCCGCGGCGUAUUAGCUAGAUGGUGGGGUAACGGCUCACCAUGGCAAUGAUACGUAGCCGACCUGAGAGGGUAAUCGGCCACAUUGGGACUGAGACACGGCCCAAACUCCUACGGGA